This 88-nucleotide microRNA precursor is filed under the name Chlorocebus sabaeus (green monkey). RNAcentral's name for it is "miRNA (ENSCSAG00000020755.1)". Lineage: Eukaryota; Metazoa; Chordata; Mammalia; Primates; Cercopithecidae. The record is from RNAcentral.
CGCCCGCCUCAGCCUCCCAAAGUGCUGGGAUUACAGGCAUGAGCCACUGCGCCCGGCCUUACACUGACUUUUUGAGCUCACUAUCAGU